Molecule: long non-coding RNA, 356 nt
Organism: Oncorhynchus tshawytscha (Chinook salmon)
Lineage: Eukaryota; Metazoa; Chordata; Actinopteri; Salmoniformes; Salmonidae
Source: Ensembl
CCAUCCUCACCCUGAGAGGAGAGGAGUCCCUCUCUGUCCACCAUCCUCACCCUGAGAGGAGAGGAGUCCCUCUCUGUCCACCAUCCUCACCCUGAGAGGAGAGGAGUCUGUCUCUGUCCACCAUCCUCACCCUGAGAGGAGAGGAGUCUGUCUCUGUCCACCAUCCUCACCCUGAGAGGAGAGGAGUCUGUCUCUGUCCACCAUCCUCACCCUGAGAGGAGAGGAGCCUGAGGCCUGUUGAGGUGACUAGUACUGGCCUGAGGCCUGUUGAGGUGACUAGUACUGGCCUGUUGAGGUGACUAGUACUGGCCUGAGGCCUGUUGAGGUGACUAGUACGGGCCUGAGGCCUGUUGAGG